RNAcentral lists this ribosomal RNA (948 nucleotides) under Lemidia accincta. Its description in RNAcentral is "partial 16S ribosomal RNA". The record is from RNAcentral. Lineage: Eukaryota; Metazoa; Arthropoda; Insecta; Coleoptera; Cleridae.
GAAAAUAAGAAUUUAUUAAUAUUAAUAAUUUUAAGCUUAGUUAAAAAAAUAAAUUUAUAUUUAAUUAUUAUUUAAGAAAAAAUAAAUUUAAUUAUAGAGUAAAGUAUUGAGAAAGAAAAUUUUUAAAAUUAUUAAAAAGAAAAAUUUAAAUAUUGUACCUUGUGCAUCAGGGUUGAUUAAAUAAAAAGUUUAUAUAAAAUAUUCUCGAAUUUAAAAGAGCUAAUUAAUUAUAUAUUUUAUUGUAAAAUAAAUAUUUAAAAUAGUUAAUUAGAAAUGAAACGUUAUUCGUUUUUAAAUAUAUCUAGUUUCUAAAUAAAUAAAUUUAAUUUAAUUAUUUAUAAUUAAAAUUUUAAAUUUUUAAUUUUUUAUUAUAAAUAAGUAAUUUUUUUAGGGAUAAGCUUAAAAAAAAAAUAUUAUAAUUUAUUAAAAGUUAAAUAAAUUAUAGGAUUAUAAUUUUCUAUAAAUAAAAAAAUGUUAUAAUUAAUUAUUUAAAUAAUAUAAUUUUUAUUAAAUUUAAAUUUUUUAUUUAGAUAAAAAUUUUAAUUUAAAAAAUUUUGCAAUAAUGAUUAAAUUAGUAUAAAUUAAUGUAUUAUUAAUUUAAAUUAUAAAGGUUAAUUUAAGGAAUUCGGCAAAUAUAUUUUUCACCUGUUUAUUAAAAACAUGUCCUUUUGAUAAUAAUUUAAGGUCUAAUCUGCCCACUGAGGAAUUAAAUGGCUGCGGUAUUUUGACCGUACAAAGGUAGCAUAAUAAUUAGUUUCUUAAUUAGAAGCUGGAAUGAAAGAUUGAAUGAGAAAAUAACUGUCUCAGAUUAAUUUAAUUAGAAUUUUAUUUUUAAGUUAAAAAGCUUAAAUAUAUUUAAAAGACGAGAAGACCCUAUAGAGUUUUAUUAAGUUUAUUAUUAAUAUUAUUUGGAUUUAAAAAUAAUUGAUAAAUAAAUUUAAUUUUGUU